UACGGAGGGAGCUAGCGUUGUUCGGAAUUACUGGGCGUAAAGCGUACGUAGGCGGUUAUUCAAGUCAGAGGUGAAAGCCCGGGGCUCAACCCCGGAACUGCCUUUGAAACUAGAUAGCUAGAGUCUUGGAGAGGUUAGUGGAAUUCCGAGUGUAGAGGUGAAAUUCGUAGAUAUUCGGAAGAACACCAGUGGCGAAGGCGACUAACUGGACAAGUACUGACGCUGAGGCACGAAAGCGUGGGGAGCAAACAGG
This 253-nucleotide ribosomal RNA is filed under the name uncultured bacterium. RNAcentral's name for it is "partial 16S ribosomal RNA". It matches the Rfam family "Bacterial small subunit ribosomal RNA", at positions 524 to 776 of the family's 1533-position model. The record is from RNAcentral.